GCUCGCCGCGUGCCUAAUACAUGCAAGUCGAGCGGACCGAAGGGAGCUUGCUCCUUUAGGUUAGCGGCGCACGGUUGAGUAGGAGGUGGGCAACCUGCCCUGCAUACUGGGAUAACUUCGGGAAAUCGGAUCUAAUACCGGAUAACACCGAAAACCGCAUGGUUUCCGGUUGAAACGCGGCUUUUAUCUGUCACUGCAGGAUGGGCCCGCGGCGCAUUAGCUAGCUGGUGAGGUAACGGCUCACCAAGGCGACGAUGCGUAGCCGACCUGAGAGGGUGACCGGCCACACUGGGACUGAGACACGGCCCAGACUCCUACGGGAGGCAGCAGUAGGGAAUCUUCCGCAAUGGACGAAAGUCUGACGGAGCAACGCCGCGUGAGCGAAGAAGGUCUUCGGAUCGUAAAGCUCUGUUGUCAGGGAAGAACAGGUACCGUUCGAACAGGGCGGUACCUUGACGGUACCUGACGAGGAAGCCACGGCUAACUACGUGCCAGCAGCCGCGGUAAUACGUAGGUGGCGAGCGUUGUCCGGAAUUAUUGGGCGUAAAGCGCGCGCAGGCGGUUCCUUAAGUCUGAUGUGAAAUCUCGCGGCUCAACCGCGAGCGGCCAUUGGAAACUGGGGAACUUGAGUGCAGGAGAGGGGAGCGGAAUUCCACCUGUCUCGGUGAAAUGCGUAGAGAUGUGGAGGAACACCAGUGGCGAAGGCGGCUCUCUGGCCUGUAACUGACGCUGAGGCGCGA
Molecule: ribosomal RNA, 740 nt
Filed under: uncultured bacterium
Lineage: Bacteria
Description: bacterial SSU rRNA
Rfam family: Bacterial small subunit ribosomal RNA
Source: RNAcentral